This 840-nucleotide unclassified non-coding RNA is filed under the name Hevea brasiliensis (rubber tree). The record is from RNAcentral. Lineage: Eukaryota; Viridiplantae; Streptophyta; Magnoliopsida; Malpighiales; Euphorbiaceae.
UCCCAAAAUUAGAUUUAUAUGAUUAUCAGCAAACUGGAAGGAAGACGAUUAAAGAACUACUACAUUUGUUUCUCCGUUUUUCGUGUCAGAGAUUAAUGUAAGUACAAAUCACAUUUCAACUAAAAUAUGCAGCAAUCAAUCCAUCUUGUUUUCUGUUUUUUCCUACUACACUUUGGUCAAAUCUGGCAAAAGCUCAGUCGGCUCUUGGGCUGCUGCCACUUGCUGAUGGCCUUUUCCCCGAAUAUUUCUGCUUUCCAAGGUUGAAAGGAAUGUAUCUGUAUUUAAUCAUGUGUGUAAUUUGUCGCCUCAUGGUAAGGACAAAUAGAACAAUCCAGUAGCACAACAAUAUAGGCCAGAACACAGGAACAUCAAAUAGGGAGAAGAAAGUCAUGACAAAUGCCACACAGAAAGCCUUUGUUAUGGCAUACCAGAACUUGAACUCUGGGAGGCGACGUAUGAAAGGCUUGAAUUCAUCUGAACCUUUAGUUGGUAACAUAGGUCCAUCCGAAGGUUCCAGCUCAGGGUCAACAAGAGGUGACAGGAAACCAAUCAGCAAAUUAAGAAUGUAGAUGCCCAAUCCAUAGGUAACAACAUAGAAUCCUUGAACAUAAUAAACCCGCAGAGCAUAAAGCAAUGCUAAGACAAAAGUUCCAAUCCACCUAUAUGUAGCAUGAGGAGUAGUUUUAUCUAAAUAGUAUUGGAAAAGUUUUGAAAGUUCAUGCCUCCGCUGGUUCAAUGCUGUAGCCGCUGAGGCACCAUCACCUCCAACACCCUCCAUAGAAACUCAACUUCACAACCCUUUCAGUGAGUAAAGAGAUUUAGAGGGUUGAAUAGAGAGGG